This is a non-coding RNA of Henosepilachna vigintioctopunctata, 74 nucleotides long. Lineage: Eukaryota; Metazoa; Arthropoda; Insecta; Coleoptera; Coccinellidae. The record is from the annotation of a GenBank genome assembly.
GGUCUCCGUGGCUAAGUCGGUAGAACACCUGACUAUGGUGCGGUAGAACUCGGGUUCGAGCCCCGAUGAAGUCA